GCAAUCCAAAAUUAUUGGAAUUUGUCAAUCCAAUAUUUGACAUGGGAUAGAUGAGAGAAUCAGCAUGGUCUGGUUGAAGAUGAUAAACUUAGCGCUUCCUGAGAGGCAACCCAAUUUUUAAUUUUUAAUUUUAUGCUUUUUGCUAUCUUUUUUAUUUUGCUUAGGUCAAUCAAGUUUUAUUUAGUGUCUUUUGUAGGGAUCUGAAGAUAAUCUUGACUAAGUUGGGGGAA
This 230-nucleotide long non-coding RNA is filed under the name Elaeis guineensis (African oil palm). RNAcentral's name for it is "long non-coding RNA (EGUI_LNC063907)". The record is from RNAcentral. Lineage: Eukaryota; Viridiplantae; Streptophyta; Magnoliopsida; Arecales; Arecaceae.